AAAAAUACCAAAUAACCCGUCAGCAAAAGAAUAAGCUUGUCACCAGAAACAGGAUUUCAAAGCCUGUGAAAGCCAUCAUUCCCACACUGCAACACAGGCAAGGCCACUGCUGGCAUUGGAGCUGUGGUAGGAUGAGGGCAGCCGCCACAUUUAGGAAUUGCUUCCUGCUGCCUGACAUAAGCAACCAGUGGGAAGCGCCUGACAAGCCAUCAUUUCUUCUCUCCAUGAAAGACAGCCCUGUUCUGAGCCAUUCACGUCUGGUUUGUCGCUAGAACAAGAAUGUGCUCUUCAAAAUUCUGAGUUCAGCAUUUUGGAAAACUGCCUCUAUGGACACAAGAGUUGGAAGAAAAAAAGUUAUUGCACAAAGACAGUGUCUUCCUCUAUUUCUACAGCAUUAAGGGAGAGUUGCGGGGACUCAAACAGCUGAUUGCCCAAUGCUGCUUUCUCUACAACAUUCAGGUCUCUGCCAGAUUUCCAGCACAUAGACAUGACCAAGCUGUGUUUCUGCAUCAAAUGUCAGCUU
Molecule: long non-coding RNA, 523 nt
Filed under: Gallus gallus (chicken)
Lineage: Eukaryota; Metazoa; Chordata; Aves; Galliformes; Phasianidae
Description: lncRNA (ENSGALG00010026699.1)
Source: RNAcentral